GAGGCGAACCGGGAGAACUGAAACAUCUAAGUACCCCGAGGAAAAGAAAUCAACCGAGAUUCCCUCAGUAGCGGCGAGCGAACGGGGAUUAGCCCUUAAGCAUCUUGGAAGUUAGUGGAACGGUCCUGGAAAGGCCGGCGAUACAGGGUGAUAGCCCCGUACACGAAAACAACCUUGAUGUGAAAUCGAGUAGGGCGGGACACGUGACAUCCUGUCUGAAUAUGGGGGGACCAUCCUCCAAGGCUAAAUACUCCUGACUGACCGAUAGUGAACCAGUACCGUGAGGGAAAGGCGAAAAGAACCCCUGUGAGGGGAGUGAAAUAGAACCUGAAACCGUGUACGUACAAGCAGUGGGAGCCCUUCGGGGUGACUGCGUACCUUUUGUAUAAUGGGUCAGCGACUUACAUUUUGUAGCGAGGUUAACCGUAUAGGGGAGCCGUAGGGAAACCGAGUCUUAACUGGGCGUCUAGUUGCAAGGUGUAGACCCGAAACCGGGUGAUCUAGCCAUGGGCAGGUUGAAGGUUGAGUAACAUCAACUGGAGGACCGAACCCACUAACGUUGCAAAGUUAGGGGAUGACCUGUGGCUGGGGGUGAAAGGCCAAUCAAACUCGGAGAUAGCUGGUUCUCCCCGAAAGCUAUUUAGGUAGCGCCUCGGACGAAUACUACUGGGGGUAGAGCACUGUUUGGGCUAGGGGGUCAUCCCGACUUACCAACCCCAUGCAAACUCCGAAUACCAGUAAGUAAUAUCCGGGAGACACACGGCGGGUGCUAACGUCCGUCGUGAAGAGGGAAACAACCCAGACCGCCGGCUAAGGUCCCAAAGUUCUGGUUAAGUGGGAAACGAUGUGGGAAGGCUCAGACAGCUAGGAUGUUGGCUUAGAAGCAGCCAUCAUUUAAAGAAAGCGUAAUAGCUCACUAGUCGAGUCGGCCUGCGCGGAAGAUGUAACGGGGCUCAAACCAGGCACCGAAGCCGCGGAUUCACACUUAUGUGUGAGUGGUAGGGGAGCGUUCUGUAAGUCUGCGAAGGUGUAUCGAGAGGUAUGCUGGAGAUAUCAGAAGUGCGAAUGCUGACGUAAGUAACGAUAAAGGGGGUGAAAAGCCUCCUCGCCGGAAGACCAAGGGUUCCUGUCCAACGUUAAUCGGGGCAGGGUGAGUCGACCCCUAAGGCGAGGCCGAAAGGCGUAGUCGAUGGGAAGCAGGUUAAUAUUCCUGCACGACUUGUAAUUGCGAUGGGGGGACGGAGAAGGCUAGGUGGGCCAGGCGACGGUUGUCCUGGUGAAAGUGCGUAGGUGGUGUUUCUAGGCAAAUCCGGAGACACAACACUGAGACACGAGACGAACACACUACGGUGUGGAAGCCAUUGAUGCCCUGCUUCCAGGAAAAGCCUCUAAGCUUCAGAUUACAAGUCAUCGUACCCCAAACCGACACAGGUGGUCGGGUAGAGAAUACCAAGGCGCUUGAGAGAACUCGGGUGAAGGAACUAGGCAAAAUAGAACCGUAACUUCGGGAGAAGGUUCGCUCUUGACAGUGAAGUCCCUUGCGGAUGGAGCAGUUGGGAGUCGCAGUGACCAGAUGGCUGGGACUGUUUAUCAAAAACACAGCACUCUGCAAACACGAAAGUGGACGUAUAGGGUGUGACACCUGCCCGGUGCCGGAAGGUUAAUUGAUGGGGUUAGCGCAAGCGAAGCUCUUGAUCGAAGCCCCGGUAAACGGCGGCCGUAACUAUAACGGUCCUAAGGUAGCGAAAUUCCUUGUCGGGUAAGUUCCGACCUGCACGAAUGGUGUAACCAUGGCCAUGCUGUCUCCACCCGAGACUCAGUGAAAUCGAAUUCGCCGUGAAGAUGCGGUGUACCCGCGGCUAGACGGAAAGACCCCGUGAACCUUUACUACAGCUUGGCACUGAACAUUGAACCUACAUGUGUAGGAUAGGUGGGAGGCUUUGAAGGCGUGACGCCAGUUGCGCUGGAGCCGUCCUUGAAAUACCACCCUUGUAUGUUUGAUGUUCUAACGCAGGGCCCUGAAUCGGGCUCGCGGACAGUGCCUGGUGGGUAGUUUGACUGGGGCGGUCUCCUCCCAAAGAGUAACGGAGGAGCACGAAGGUUGGCUAAUCCUGGUCGGACAUCAGGAGGUUAGUGCAAUGGCAUAAGCCAGCUUAACUGCGAGACGGACAGGUCGAGCAGGUACGAAAGUAGGUCAUAGUGAUCCGGUGGUUCUGAAUGGAAGGGCCAUCGCUCAACGGAUAAAAGGUACUCCGGGGAUAACAGGCUGAUACCGCCCAAGAGUUCAUAUCGACGGCGGUGUUUGGCACCUCGAUGUCGGCUCAUCACAUCCUGGGGCUGAAGUCGGUCCCAAGGGUAUGGCUGUUCGCCAUUUAAAGUGGUACGCGAGCUGGGUUCAGAACGUCGUGAGACAGUUCGGUCCCUAUCUGCCGUGGGCGUUGGAUGAUUGAAGGGAGUUGCUCCUAGUACGAGAGGACCGGAGUGAACGAACCUCUGGUGUUCGGGUUGUCACGCCAGUGGCACUGCCCGGUAGCUAAGUUCGGAAUCGAUAACCGCUGAAAGCAUCUAAGCGGGAAGCGAGCCCUGAGAUGAGUCAUCCCUGACCCCUUGAGGGUCCUAAAGGGCCGUUGGAGACCACAACGUUGAUAGGUGGGGUGUGUAAGCACGGCGACGUGUUGAGCUAACCCAUACUAAUUACCCGUGAGGCUUAACCAUA
Molecule: ribosomal RNA, 2716 nt
Filed under: Aeromonas veronii B565
Lineage: Bacteria; Pseudomonadati; Pseudomonadota; Gammaproteobacteria; Aeromonadales; Aeromonadaceae
Description: bacterial LSU rRNA
Rfam family: Bacterial large subunit ribosomal RNA
Source: RNAcentral